AGUUACUUAUCUUUUAGGAAAGUAAGUGUUUUGAAAGCACCAGAAAAGAGUUCGAAUCUCUUAGUAACUU
RNAcentral lists this transfer RNA (70 nucleotides) under Typhlatya garciai. RNAcentral's name for it is "tRNA-Ser". It matches the Rfam family "tRNA". Rfam says of the family: Transfer RNA (tRNA) molecules are approximately 80 nucleotides in length. Their secondary structure includes four short double-helical elements and three loops (D, anti-codon, and T loops). Further hydrogen bonds mediate the characteristic L-shaped molecular structure. tRNAs have two regions of fundamental functional importance: the anti-codon, which is responsible for specific mRNA codon recognition, and the 3' end, to which the tRNAs corresponding amino acid is attached (by aminoacyl-tRNA synthetases). tRNAs cope with the degeneracy of the genetic code in two manners: having more than one tRNA (with a specific anti-codon) for a particular amino acid; and 'wobble' base-pairing, i.e. permitting non-standard base-pairing at the 3rd anti-codon position. Lineage: Eukaryota; Metazoa; Arthropoda; Malacostraca; Decapoda; Atyidae. The record is from RNAcentral.